UAGGGAAUCUUCCACAAUGGACGCAAGUCUGAUGGAGCAACGCCGCGUGAGUGAAGAAGGCUUUCGGGUCGUAAAACUCUGUUAUUGAAGAAGAACGUGUGUGACAGUAACUGGUCAUGCAGUGACGGUAUUCAAUCAGAAAGUCACGGCUAACUACGUGCCAGCAGCCGCGGUAAUACGUAGGUGGCAAGCGUUGUCCGGAUUUAUUGGGCGUAAAGCGAGUGCAGGCGGUCUUUUAAGUCUGAUGUGAAAGCCUUCGGCUUAACCGAAGAAGGGCAUCGGAAACUGGGAGACUUGAGUGCAGAAGAGGAGAGUGGAACUCCAUGUGUAGCGGUGAAAUGCGUAGAUAUAUGGAAGAACACCAGUGGCGAAGGCGGCUCUCUGGUCCGUAACUGACGCUGAGGCUCGAAAGCGUGGGUAGCAAACAGGAUUAGAUACCCUGGUAGUCCACGCC
RNAcentral lists this ribosomal RNA (454 nucleotides) under uncultured bacterium. RNAcentral describes it as "partial 16S ribosomal RNA". It matches the Rfam family "Bacterial small subunit ribosomal RNA", at positions 355 to 801 of the family's 1533-position model. The record is from RNAcentral.